AACGAACGCUGGCGGCAUGCCUAACACAUGCAAGUCGAACGAGACCUUCGGGUCUAGUGGCGCACGGGUGCGUAACGCGUGGGAACCUGCCCUUAGGUUCGGAAUAACUCCCCGAAAGGGGUGCUAACACCGGAUAAUGUCUUCGGACCAAAGAUUUAUCGCCUUUGGAUGGGCCCGCGUUGGAUUAGCUAGUUGGUAGGGUAAAAGCCUACCAAGGCGACGAUCCAUAGCUGGUCUGAGAGGAUGAUCAGCCACACUGGGACUGAGACACGGCCCAGACUCCUACGGGAGGCAGCAGUGGGGAAUAUUGGACAAUGGGCGAAAGCCUGAUCCAGCAAGGCCGCGUGAGUGAUGAAGGCCUUAGGGUUGUAAAGCUCUUUUACCCGGGAUGAUAAUGACAGUACCGGGAGAAUAAUCUCCGGCUAACUCCGUG
This 433-nucleotide ribosomal RNA is filed under the name uncultured bacterium. RNAcentral describes it as "partial 16S ribosomal RNA". It matches the Rfam family "Bacterial small subunit ribosomal RNA", at positions 29 to 507 of the family's 1533-position model. The record is from RNAcentral.